GAUGAACGCUAGCGGCAGGCCUAAUACAUGCAAGCCAAGGGCUGUUUGGUGUAGCAAUACAUCAAACAACCGGCGGACGGGUGCGUAACGCGUAUGCAACCUACCCUAUACAGGAGGAUAGCCCUCGGAAACGAGGAUUAAUACUCCAUAAGAUUGCUUAGAGGCAUCUUUAAGCAAUUAAAGCCGCAAGGCGGUAUAGGAUGGGCGUGCGUCGGAUUAGAUAGUUGGUGAGGUAACGGCUCACCAAGGCGAUGAGCGGUAGGGGUUGUGAGAGGAAGAUAAGACACACUACAAGGGCACCGAGACACAGGCCCGACUGCUACGGGACGCAGCAGUAUGGAAGAUUGGAGAAUGGGUGAAAGCCUGACCCAGCCACGCCGCGUGAAGGAAGAAGGCCCUAUGGGUUGUAAUCUGCUGUUGAGAGGGAGAAAUAGGGGCGAUGCGUCGCGCGAUGACAGUACUUCACGAAUAAGCAUCGGCUAACUUCGUG
RNAcentral lists this ribosomal RNA (490 nucleotides) under uncultured bacterium. Its description in RNAcentral is "partial 16S ribosomal RNA". It matches the Rfam family "Bacterial small subunit ribosomal RNA", at positions 28 to 507 of the family's 1533-position model. The record is from RNAcentral.